UGGGGGAUAUUGCACAAUGGGCGAAAGCCUGAUGCAGCGACGCCGCGUGGGGGAUGAAGGCCUUCGGGUUGUAAACUUCUUUUGCUCUGAACAAGGCAUGCCUUUGGGGUGUGUUGAGUGUAGGGGUUGAUUAGCGCCGGCUAACUACGUGCCAGCAGCCGCGGUAAUACGUAGGGCGCGAGCGUUGUCCGGAAUUAUUGGGCGUAAAGGGCUUGUAGGUGGCUGGUUGCGUCUGUCGUGAAAGCUCAUGGCUUAACUGUGGGUUUGCGGUGGGUGCCGGGUGGCAUGGGUGCAGUAGGGGGGGGUGGAAUUCCUGGUGUAGCGGUGGAAUGCGCAGAUAUGAGGAGGAAUACCGGUGGCGGAGGCGGGUCUCUGGGCUGUUACUGACGCUGAGGAGCGAAAGCGUGGGGAGCGAACAGG
RNAcentral lists this ribosomal RNA (420 nucleotides) under Fusobacteriota bacterium. Its description in RNAcentral is "Fusobacteria bacterium partial 16S ribosomal RNA". It matches the Rfam family "Bacterial small subunit ribosomal RNA", at positions 355 to 776 of the family's 1533-position model. Lineage: Bacteria; Fusobacteriati; Fusobacteriota. The record is from RNAcentral.